RNAcentral lists this ribosomal RNA (481 nucleotides) under uncultured bacterium. RNAcentral describes it as "partial 16S ribosomal RNA". It matches the Rfam family "Bacterial small subunit ribosomal RNA", at positions 30 to 507 of the family's 1533-position model. The record is from RNAcentral.
AUUGAACGCUGGCGGCAUGCUUUACACAUGCAAGUCGAACGGUAACAGGCCGCAAGGUGCUGACGAGUGGCGAACGGGUGAGUAAUGCAUCGGAACGUGCCCAGUCGUGGGGGAUAACUACUCGAAAGAGUAGCUAUACCGCAUACGAUCUAUGGAUGAAAGCGGGGGACCGUAAGGCCUCGCGCGAUUGGAGCGGCCGAUGUCAGAUUAGGUAGUUGGUGGGGUAAAGGCUCACCAAGCCAACGAUCUGUAGCUGGUCUGAGAGGACGACCAGCCACACUGGGACUGAGACACGGCCCAGACUCCUACGGGAGGCAGCAGUGGGGAAUUUUGGACAAUGGGCGCAAGCCUGAUCCAGCAAUGCCGCGUGCAGGAAGAAGGCCUUCGGGUUGUAAACUGCUUUUGUACGGAACGAAACGGCUCUGGUUAAUACCCGGGGCUAAUGACGGUACCGUAAGAAUAAGCACCGGCUAACUACGUG